This 781-nucleotide ribosomal RNA is filed under the name Physconia muscigena. RNAcentral describes it as "mitochondrial SSU rRNA". It matches the Rfam family "Bacterial small subunit ribosomal RNA", at positions 348 to 1198 of the family's 1533-position model. Lineage: Eukaryota; Fungi; Ascomycota; Lecanoromycetes; Caliciales; Physciaceae. The record is from RNAcentral.
CCAGCAACUUGGAGGAAUGUAUAGCGAAAGCUACUUGCAUUUAGCUUAGUUAAAGCUAAGUUGGUGCAGGAUUGACUAUGUCAAAUAAAGUUCUAGGUGGGUUAUGAUGAUGACAUUUCCUAUCUAUGUGUCUUGACCAAAUUACGUGCCAGCAGUCGCGGUAACACGUAAAAGACUAGUGUUAUUCAUCUUUAAUAGGUUUAAAGGGUACCUAGACGGUAAAUCAAGUCCAAGAAGGGUACUAAUUUUACUAGAGUUUAAUGUGAGGGGGCACUAAAGUACUGAUAAGUGUAGAGAUGAAAUUCUGUGAUACAAUAUACGGCACUGGCAAAGGCGAAAGCAUCUCAUUAUGUAAUAACUGACGUUGAGGGACGAAGGCUAGGUGUAGCAAAAAGGAUUAGAUACCCAAGUAGUCUUAGCAGAAAAUUAUGAAUGUCAUAGGAUGGAAAGUUGGAUGGACAAACAACAAAUUUUUUUUCUAUAAAUGAAAGUGUAAGCAUUCCACCUCGAGAGUAAUUUGGCAACAUUGGAACUGAAAUCAUUAGACCGUUUCUGAAACAAGUAGUGAAGUAUGUUGUUUAAUUUGAUGGUCCGCAAAAAACCUUACCACAAUUUGAAUAGAAAUUUUUUUUCAUACAAGCGCUGCACGGUUGUCUUCAGUUAAUGUCGUGAGAUCUUGGUUAGUUCCAUUAAAUUAACGUAAACCCUUACUUUAUUUUUAUAUAGAGUAGUUCACCGCUAGAUUGGAUGUGAUAACAGGGACUAAGACAAGUCAUCAUGG